RNAcentral lists this transfer RNA (72 nucleotides) under Curruca curruca (lesser whitethroat). RNAcentral describes it as "Sylvia curruca (lesser whitethroat) tRNA-Glu". Lineage: Eukaryota; Metazoa; Chordata; Aves; Passeriformes; Sylviidae. The record is from RNAcentral.
GUUCCUGUAGUUAAAGUCAUAUAACAGCAGUUCUUCAGACUGUAGAUCUCAGAGAGAGGCUGGGCGGGAAUU